RNAcentral lists this ribosomal RNA (403 nucleotides) under uncultured bacterium. Its description in RNAcentral is "bacterial SSU rRNA". It matches the Rfam family "Bacterial small subunit ribosomal RNA", at positions 355 to 774 of the family's 1533-position model. The record is from RNAcentral.
UGAGGAAUAUUGCACAAUGGGCGCAAGCCUGAUGCAGCAACGCCGCGUGCGGGACGAAGGCCUUCGGGUCGUAAACCGCUUUUCUGGGGGAAGAGCAAGGACGGUACCUCAGGAAUAAGUCUCGGCUAACUACGUGCCAGCAGCCGCGGUAAAACGUAGGAGGCGAGCGUUAUCCGGAUUUACUGGGCGUAAAGCGCACGCAGGCGGCUCUGUUAGUCGGACGUGAAAGCUCUCGGCUUAACCGGGAGAGGCCGUUCGAUACUGCGGGACUUGAGGUAGGGAGAGGAAUGCGGAAUUCCCGGUGUAGUGGUGGAAUGCGUAGAUAUCGGGAGGAACACCUGUGGCGAAAGCGGCAUUCUGGCCCUCACCUGACGCUGAGGUGCGAAAGCGUGGGUAGCAAACA